GGGGUUGUGGCUCAGUGGUAGAGUGCUUGCCUAGUAUGCAUGAAGCAGUGGGUAUGAUUUUCAGCACCA
RNAcentral lists this transfer RNA (69 nucleotides) under Ictidomys tridecemlineatus (thirteen-lined ground squirrel). RNAcentral describes it as "Spermophilus tridecemlineatus (thirteen-lined ground squirrel) tRNA". It matches the Rfam family "tRNA". Rfam says of the family: Transfer RNA (tRNA) molecules are approximately 80 nucleotides in length. Their secondary structure includes four short double-helical elements and three loops (D, anti-codon, and T loops). Lineage: Eukaryota; Metazoa; Chordata; Mammalia; Rodentia; Sciuridae. The record is from Rfam by way of RNAcentral.